CCUACGGGGAGCAGCAGUGGGGGAUAUUGCACAAUGGGGGGAACCCUGAUGCAGCGACGCCGCGUGGGUGAAGGAGUGCUUCGGCAUGUAAAGCCCUAUCGGCAGGGAAGAAGCAAGACGGUACCUGACUAAGAAGCCCCGGCUAACUACGUGCCAGCAGCCGCGGUAAUACGUAGGGGGCGAGCGUUAUCCGGAUUCACUGGGUGUAAAGGGAGCGUAGACGGCCAUGCAAGCCAGGGGUGAAAGCCCGGGGCCCAACCCCGGGACUGCCCUUGGAACUGUGCGGCUAGAGUGCGGGAGGGGCAGGCGGAAUUCCUGGUGUAGCGGUGAAAUGCGUAGAUAUCAGGAGGAACACCGGCGGCGAAGGCGGCCUGCUGGACUGCGACUGACGUUGAGGCUCGAAAGCGUGGGGAGCGAACAGGAUUAGAUACCCGGGUAGUC
Molecule: ribosomal RNA, 441 nt
Filed under: uncultured bacterium
Lineage: Bacteria
Description: partial 16S ribosomal RNA
Rfam family: Bacterial small subunit ribosomal RNA
Source: RNAcentral